UACGAAGGGUGCAAGCGUUACUCGGAAUUACUGGGCGUAAAGCGUGCGUAGGUGGUUUGUUAAGUCUGAUGUGAAAGCCCUGGGCUCAACCUGGGAAUUGCAUUGGAUACUGGCAGGCUAGAGUGCGGUAGAGGAUGGCGGAAUUCCGGUGUAGCAGUGAAAUGCGUAGAGAUCGGGAGGAACAUCUGUGGCGAAGGCGGCCAUCUGGACCAGCACUGACACUGAGGCACGAAAGCGUGGGGAGCAACAGGG
Molecule: ribosomal RNA, 252 nt
Filed under: uncultured bacterium
Lineage: Bacteria
Description: partial 16S ribosomal RNA
Rfam family: Bacterial small subunit ribosomal RNA
Source: RNAcentral